GGUUUGGUCCUAGCCUUACUAUUAAUUACAGCUACAUUUACACAUGCAAGUCUCAGCAUACCCGUGAAAAUGCCCUCUGCAACUUCUAAGUGAUUGAGGAGCUGAUAUCAGGUGCACUACGCCAAAGACAUCUUGUAAAACCACACCCCCAAGGGUAUUCAGCAGUGGUAAACAUUGGAAAAUAAGCGACACAAGCUUGAACCAGUGAUAGCUAAAAGAGUUGGUAAAUCUCGUGCCAGCCACCGCGGUUAUACGAGAAACUCAAGUUAAUAAAUUACGGCUCAAAGGGUGGUUAAAGAACUAUAACCAUAACUAAUAGAAUUAAAAACUAACUCUGCUGUCGUACGCAAUAGAUAGGUAGAAACCCAAUAUCGAAAGAAAUUCUAACAAAAUUAACUUGAACCCACUAUAGCUAUGAAACAAACUGGGAUUAGAUACCCCACUAUGCCUAGCCAUAAACUUUGAUGAAUCCGCCAGAAUACUACGAGCAACAGCUUAAAACUCAAAGGACUUGGCGGUGCUUUAAACCCACCUAGAGGAGCCUGUUCUGUAAUCGAUAAUCCCCGAUAAACCUCACCAUCAAUUGCUAAUUCAGCCUAUAUACCACCGUCCAGCCCACCCUCUAAAGGAUAAACAGUAGGCACAACUGCAAUCGCAAAAACGUCAGGUCAAGGUGUAGCUUAUAAGAUGGGAAGAAAUGGGCUACAUUUUCUACCCUAGAAAACACGAAAGAUUUUAUGAAAUUAACUUCUGAAGGAGGAUUUAGUAGUAAAAAAGGAUAAGAGUGCCUUUUUUAACAUGGCAAUAAAGCGCGUACACACCGCCCGUCACCCUCUUCGCCACA
Molecule: non-coding RNA, 844 nt
Filed under: Salamandrina terdigitata (spectacled salamander)
Lineage: Eukaryota; Metazoa; Chordata; Amphibia; Caudata; Salamandridae
Description: partial 12S ribosomal RNA
Rfam family: Bacterial small subunit ribosomal RNA
Source: RNAcentral